UGUAGUUUUUGGUUAGUGCCUGUUGGUC
RNAcentral lists this non-coding RNA (28 nucleotides) under Mus musculus (house mouse). Lineage: Eukaryota; Metazoa; Chordata; Mammalia; Rodentia; Muridae. The record is from RNAcentral.